GGCGCGAUGGCGGAGUGGUUAACGCGAGAGACUAGAAUUUGACUCUAUGUCUUAUCUAAUCUAUCUCUUCCCUUCGGGGGCGUAGGUUCGAAUCCUGCUCGCGUCG
This is a transfer RNA of 106 nucleotides. It matches the Rfam family "tRNA". Rfam says of the family: Transfer RNA (tRNA) molecules are approximately 80 nucleotides in length. Their secondary structure includes four short double-helical elements and three loops (D, anti-codon, and T loops). The record is from Rfam.